GUCUUCGUAGCGCAGUUGGUUAGCGCGUUGGUCUCGUAGGUUGUUCUAUGAUCUAGUUCUUAAGCUAGGCUAUCCAAAGGCCGUGAGUUCGAGUCUCACCGAGGACA
This is a non-coding RNA of Xylaria digitata, 107 nucleotides long. NCBI's taxonomy places the organism in Eukaryota, Fungi, Ascomycota, Sordariomycetes, Xylariales, Xylariaceae. The record is from the annotation of a GenBank genome assembly.